CCUACGGGGGGCUGCAGUGAGGAAUAUUGGUCAAUGGACGAGAGUCUGAACCAGCCAAGUAGCGUGAAGGAUGACUGCCCUAUGGGUUGUAAACUUCUUUUAUAUGGGAAUAAAAUGUUCCACGUGUGGGAUUUUGUAUGUACCAUAUGAAUAAGGAUCGGCUAACUCCGUGCCAGCAGCCGCGGUAAUACGGAGGAUCCGAGCGUUAUCCGGAUUUAUUGGGUUUAAAGGGAGCGUAGGGGGAUUGUUAAGUCAGUUGUGAAAGUUUGCGGCUCAACCGUAAAAUUGCAGUUGAAACUGGCAGUCUUGAGUACAGUAGAGGUGGGCGGAAUUCGUGGUGUAGCGGUGAAAUGCUUAGAUAUCACGAAGAACUCCGAUUGCGAAGGCAGUUCACUGGACUGCAACUGACACUGAGGCUCGAAAGUGUGGGUAUCAAACAGGAUUAGAUACCCUAGUAGUC
This 460-nucleotide ribosomal RNA is filed under the name uncultured bacterium. RNAcentral's name for it is "partial 16S ribosomal RNA". It matches the Rfam family "Bacterial small subunit ribosomal RNA", at positions 338 to 795 of the family's 1533-position model. The record is from RNAcentral.